CCUACGGGGUGCAGCAGUGAGGAAUAUUGGUCAAUGGACGAGAGUCUGAACCAGCCAAGUAGCGUGAAGGAUGACUGCCCUAUGGGUUGUAAACUUCUUUUAUAUGGGAAUAAAACGUUCCACGUGUGGGAUUUUGUAUGUACCAUAUGAAUAAGGAUCGGCUAACUCCGUGCCAGCAGCCGCGGUAAUACGGAGGAUCCGAGCGUUAUCCGGAUUUAUUGGGUUUAAAGGGAGCGUAGGUGGAUUGUUAAGUCAGUUGUGAAAGUUUGCGGAUCAACCGUAAAAUUGCAGUUGAAACUGGCAGUCUGGAGUACAGUAGAGGUGGGCGGAAUUCGGGGUGUGGGGGGGAAAUGCUUAGAUAUCACGAAGAACGCCGAGUGCGAAGGCAGUUCACUGGACUGCAACUGACACUGAGGCUCGAAAGUGUGGGUAUAAAAAAGGAGUAGAAACCCGAGUAGUC
This 460-nucleotide ribosomal RNA is filed under the name uncultured bacterium. RNAcentral's name for it is "partial 16S ribosomal RNA". It matches the Rfam family "Bacterial small subunit ribosomal RNA", at positions 338 to 795 of the family's 1533-position model. The record is from RNAcentral.